GCUUUCUUUGCUGGCGACCGGCGCACGGGUGAGUAACACGUAUCCAACCUGCCCUUUACUCGGGGAUAGCCUUUCGAAAGAAAGAUUAAUACCCGAUAGUAUAAUGAUUCCGCAUGGUUUCAUUAUUAAAGGAUUCCGGUAAAGGAUGGGGAUGCGUUCCAUUAGGUUGUUGGUGAGGUAACGGCUCACCAAGCCUUCGAUGGAUAGGGGUUCUGAGAGGAAGGUCCCCCACAUUGGAACUGAGACACGGUCCAAACUCCUACGGGAGGCAGCAUG
This 276-nucleotide ribosomal RNA is filed under the name uncultured bacterium. RNAcentral's name for it is "partial 16S ribosomal RNA". It matches the Rfam family "Bacterial small subunit ribosomal RNA", at positions 78 to 353 of the family's 1533-position model. The record is from RNAcentral.